RNAcentral lists this ribosomal RNA (375 nucleotides) under uncultured bacterium. RNAcentral's name for it is "bacterial SSU rRNA". It matches the Rfam family "Bacterial small subunit ribosomal RNA", at positions 30 to 417 of the family's 1533-position model. The record is from RNAcentral.
AUUGAACGCUGGCGGCAGGCUUAACACAUGCAAGUCGAGCGGAGACUUCGGUCUUAGCGGCGAACGGGUGAGUAACACCUAGGAAUCUGCCUAUUAGUGGGGGAUAACGUGUGGAAACGCACGCUAAUACCGCAUACGUCCUACGGGAGAAAGCAGGGGAUCUUCGGACCUUGCGCUAAUAGAUGAGCCUAGGCCGGAUUAGCUAGUUGGUGGGGUAAAGGCCUACCAAGGCGACGAUCUGUAGCUGGUCUGAGAGGAUGGCCAGCCACACUGGAACUGAGACACGGUCCAGACUCCUACGGGAGGCAGCAGUGGGGAAUAUUGGACAAUGGGGGCAACCCUGAUCCAGCCAUGCCGCGUGUGUGAAGAAGGCCU